RNAcentral lists this ribosomal RNA (429 nucleotides) under uncultured bacterium. Its description in RNAcentral is "bacterial SSU rRNA". It matches the Rfam family "Bacterial small subunit ribosomal RNA", at positions 355 to 776 of the family's 1533-position model. RNAcentral also lists the same sequence under 1 other name. The record is from RNAcentral.
UGGGGAAUUUUGGACAAUGGGCGCAAGCCUGAUCCAGCAAUGCCGCGUGUGUGAAGAAGGCCUUCGGGUUGUAAAGCACUUUUGGCGGGAGCGAAACGGCGUUUGCUAAUACCAGACGCUAAUGACGGUACCCGCAGAAUAAGCACCGGCUAACUACGUGCCAGCAGCCGCGGUAAGACGUAGGGUGCGAGCGUUAAUCGGAAUUACUGGGCGUAAAGCGUGCGCAGGCGGCUUUGUAAGACAGGUGUGAAAUCCCCGGGCUUAACCUGGGAACUGCACUUGUGACUGCAAGGCUAGAGUGUGUCAGAGGGAGGUGGAAUUCCGCGUGUAGCAGUGAAAUGCGUAGAUAUGCGGAGGAACACCGAUGGCGAAGGCAGCCUCCUGGGAUAACACUGACGCUCAUGCACGAAAGCGUGGGGAGCAAACAGG